RNAcentral lists this long non-coding RNA (674 nucleotides) under Capsicum annuum. RNAcentral describes it as "long non-coding RNA (CANN_LNC021708)". Lineage: Eukaryota; Viridiplantae; Streptophyta; Magnoliopsida; Solanales; Solanaceae. The record is from RNAcentral.
GCAAUAUUGAUCCACACAUUUUACAACUUUCUGUUUUCUUUUAAUUUUCAUGCUGAUCCAAACUACAAAACAACAACAUACUCAGUAUAUUUGUGAGUUCGAAAGGAUAUCGCAAGACCAACAGACUCAAGUAGAACACUCGUAUUGAUUCAAACUAUAUCACAUAAGUUGAAACUGUGGCAAGAGAUCACAUCCAUGGAGAUUCAAAACACAGAGUAUUACUUAUCAAAUCACCAUUUGAGGAAAACAGAAAACAACACAGAGAACUAUCGAUCAAUUAUCAUAAGUACGACAUUCAUCAGUUUCCGGAUUAUCCUUGCAGUAAUUCUCCAAUGGAUCAGAUGAUUCCUUCUUCCUAUCCCUUGCAUGACUUGCUGCUGCACUUGCCUCUUCCACCACAUCCCAUGCUGCUGCACAUUCACCGCUCACCGGAUCGUCAGCACACGCUUGUUCUGCUUCUUUGACACUCUCCGCGACUAAAUCAGAUAGCUUGUUAUCCGGUGUUGCUGAUAAUGGUGCUACGUACAUCUUUCUGUUCUUGUUCUUCCAUGGAUUGUUUAGUGUUGGGAAGUUGAAGGGAUGGAUUUUCGGGAAAUCGGAUGAUUUGGAGAGGAUUGCUGGAGUUGUGAGAUUAACACCAGCUAUGGAAGAAGCCAUUUUUUUUGCUAUGGUAA